This 432-nucleotide long non-coding RNA is filed under the name Equus caballus (horse). RNAcentral's name for it is "lncRNA (ENSECAG00000047673.1)". Lineage: Eukaryota; Metazoa; Chordata; Mammalia; Perissodactyla; Equidae. The record is from RNAcentral.
AAACUGAAGACGUUAUUUGGGAGGCAGAAUCCACAGGACUUGGUGACCGAUGGGAUUUCAGUACGGAAGACAAGGCCGAUGCCCAGGCUUCCGGCUUCUGGUUUGGAGAGUGUUGCCAUUGUUGACGUUGGGAACCGAGAAGGAGGUGCAGUUUGGAUGGGCACUGUAGGGCCUGGCUUGACAGGCAGCACAUAGGUCCACACCUGGGAUCCAAACCGGCAAACUGCAGGCCACUGAAGCAGAGCGUGAGAACAUAACUGCUACGCCACCAGGUUCUUCAGGAGAUAUUCCAGAAGAAGGUAUUGUUAUCAUAGGAGCUGAUGACUCUGUGGGUGUUAUUGCCUCUGAACAUCUUUCGGUGGAAGCACACAUGGAGGUGAAGGACAGUGAUGCUGAUGAUCCUGAUCCUGUGUCGGCCCAGGCUAAGGUGCG